Long non-coding RNA from Trematomus bernacchii (emerald rockcod), 645 nucleotides. RefSeq lists it as uncharacterized. Lineage: Eukaryota; Metazoa; Chordata; Actinopteri; Perciformes; Nototheniidae. The record is from RefSeq and is a predicted model, not a curated record. The transcript has 4 exons.
UGUCUUUUUCUUCUUUUCCCGGAACACCGAGUGCAAGUACAUCUGACAUCAAUGAAGACGGUGGCUUCUGGAGUUUCUGAAGAACUUACGGACUGCGAGGACAAUCAUCUGACAUCAACGAAGACGGUGGCUUCUUGAGUUUUUAAAGAACUUACGGACUGCAAGGACAUUCAUCUGACAUCAAUGAAGACGGUGGCUUCUGGAGUUUCUGAAGAACUUACGAGAGUGAAGAGAGGACCCCCCCCCCCCAUCAAUUAAGACCCCGGCUGCCUAUGCUUCUGAAAAACUUGUGGACGUUUUCAGCCUUGGGGAAGUAUAGCAGACUUAGCAGCCUUUGGGACGUAUAGCAGACUUAACAGACUUAGCCGACUUGGGGCGGUGGCUGGGGUGCCGAGCGCCCCCCCCCCAGCAACAUCAGCCCCCCGACUUAGCAGACUUAGCAGACUUAGCAGACUUAGCAGACUUAGCAGGCCUAUAGACUUAGCAGACUAUCGGCAGUGGCUGCAGGGCCAGUCUCACUGCCAGGAGUGCAGUGAGAGCCGGCAGCCACCUAUCGGCCGCUUAGCAGACUUGGGGACGUUUAGCAGACUUAGCAGACUUGGGGACAUUUAGCAGACUUGGGGAAAAGGCGACACUGCUAUGUAU